Molecule: long non-coding RNA, 2560 nt
Filed under: Daucus carota (carrot)
Lineage: Eukaryota; Viridiplantae; Streptophyta; Magnoliopsida; Apiales; Apiaceae
Description: long non-coding RNA (DCAR_LNC003647)
Source: RNAcentral
UGCUUAAAAGAAAAGGCUUGAUUAAUUACUCCCAACUUAACUAUACUUGGAGUAAUUAAACGUAUACUUGAUCUUAUAUUAUAGAUCCAAAGAAAGUAUACUAUACUUGACUAUAAUAUUUAUAACUUGAAUAUUAUUGUCAUCUCCGAACUAGUACAGUAACAUACUAGUUCAAAACAUAUCUUUUAUAACUUGUUUGUUGUUCGUAGAUAUUGUGUUCUAACUUUUGCAGUGAGGUGAAGUGAAGUGAGGUGAUUCUUGUUCUAAGACCCAAGUCCAUCGCGAAUCUAUUAGAGGUUGCUCCAUCGCGAACCAGGAUAAAAUCGACCGUGUGAUAUUUGCUUUCUACUUCCGCACAUAUAAUUGCUUAACAACACGGUAAAAAUAUUUAAAACUCGGAAAAUAUUUUUAAAAGGCAAUUAUAAUUUUUAAAUUGGACAUUAAGCUAUUCAACCCCCCUUCUAGCUUAAUUUACGCCUUAUUCAGGACCUAACAAGUAUAAAUUUAAAAUUUAAUAUAUAUGCAGUGUUUGGCAAUGCCCGCUUCAGGAUUUAUAAGUUUAACCCUUAUCUGUACCGUUUGUAUAAAAAGUGAGAAAGUACUUAAAAAAAAGUUAGGAUUACUCGAUUUUGUUUCAGAACUUCUACUUAUUUUCCAAACAAACUUGUUACACAAUACAUUUUUCGGUUUAAAGUUAAAAGCGAGGGGCGUGUAGGUGACGCCUCUCACAUUGCUCCAUUCUAUUUUUCUAAUUUUUGUUUGAAAACUAUCAAAAAUUGGAACUACCUUUUUUAGUUUCGGAUAUAUUAGAAGCAAGUUUCAGAAUCUGAUUUUGUUUGUAGGGUUUUGGAUCAUCUAAACACAACCUUCUCUCUCUCAAUACUACAACCCUACCUCUCUUUCUGGUGAUACUUCUCCUGCUCGAUUUCUAACUCGGUGGUGCCGUUCUUCUGCACCGAUAAGUGAAGGCUGUUUAUAUGAUAUUAAAAAAAUUAAAGGUUGUUGCAAGUAAAGGUAGUUAUAGACCGUCAUGUGGGAGUCGACAAAUCCAAACACGGGAGAAGAAUACAGUCUUGACAUGAUAUUGAUGAACGAUAUCAAUAAAUUAACUAUCAGUGAUGUAUGUUUGUUGGUUAUUCUUUUAUAAUAUUUAUUUUGUUCAUCCGACAAGUUUUGUAGUUGUUAGUUUUUAUAUGAUUUCCUUUAUACAUAGGAAAAUAUUAUUCACGCAUUAUCUGUUUACUCCGUUCAAGCAACUUUUAAGUGAAGUCUUUUCAUACAGUAUUAAAAAAUAAAGGUUGUUACAAGCAAGGGUAGUUAUAGACCGCUAUCUCACGGAUUUAAGUUAGAUGUUUUUGUGCACAAUCAAUCCAAACAAAUUGGAGGAAGGUGAUAAUGUAAAAACAUGAUCACUUUUCAAAAAAAAAUAACACAAAUAAAAUUAAGAUUCGUCGUGCUUUAAAUUGUUAAUUAUGUGUAGAAAUUUAUUUUCAUUUUUCAACAUGAAUUAUAGUCCAAUUUUGCAAUUUUAUAUAUUAGUGUUGGUAUACAUCAAGAUUUUUAUAAUAUAAAAUUUAUUUUAUCCUACAAAUAUUAAUUUUUAAUCAUUAAUAUACAUUUUAUAAACAACCACAAAAUUAUUGCAUUCAACUAAUAUUAAUAUUGAAUCAUUAAUAUAAUUUUUUAGGCCGCCGCAACGCGCAGCUUUUCAACUAGUGACUUAAAAUCCUGGUUUUAAACGAGAUGAACAUGCUCUUAGUCCAGAAUCAUUUCUUUAUACUUAAAAACAAAAAGAAAAUUCCCAACUCCUUGAUAGAACUCAGAAAAAAAUAAAAAAUAUAAAUGGAGACUUUAAUAUGUCAGAAAGAGAUUUUAUUUUGCUCAGAAUUCGAAUUGGUAAUGGUUGCGAUCCGGCAGAAGGCAAAAAUUGGGCCGCAGAUGGUUACAAUUAAAGGACCGAAAUGAUCCCACGUUGUAUUGUAAUUUGUAACUGACUAUUGGGCUUUAAUUCGCAAAAAGAAUCCGCUGCACUGAAACCUAAUUUUUAGAUUAAUUGACACUCUGACAUCAUAUAUUAUGUUAAUAAACAUAGAUAGAUUGUUGGGUUAUGAUUAUAGUUUUUUCCUCGGACAUUAUUAGAUUAUUAAAAUUAAACAAUAUUAUUCUGUAUUUAAAAUAAAAGAUAAUUAAAAUUAUAAUCAUCAAAAUGAAAAAAUGAAAUAGAUAAUACUGUACUUCAAAGUGUGAAUUACUUAGGUUAGUUAAAAAAAUGAUGUUCAAAAGUAUGAGGUGUUUGAAAUUCUUUUAUGAUAUGUCUAGGAGCUUAGAUUUCAUUUGAAAUCAUGUUUACAUUCAGAUAUUAAUAUAAGAUUUUUUCUAGUGUGUGCCGUGGGUGUAUAUUGAAUUUCAAAUCAACUAUAUGAGACAGGGUAAACUUUGGCAUCAAUAUUAUAUUUUAAUACUGCUCAUCGUGCAUUUUCUAGGAGAAGAAAAUGAUGGCACAAGCAUUCUCAUUCUAUGCAUGUAAAUAUUUACACAAGAUAAUAGAAAUUUAUUCCGG